RNAcentral lists this ribosomal RNA (512 nucleotides) under Neivamyrmex romandii. Its description in RNAcentral is "eukaryotic LSU rRNA". The record is from RNAcentral. Lineage: Eukaryota; Metazoa; Arthropoda; Insecta; Hymenoptera; Formicidae.
AAACCGUUCAGGGGUAAACCUGAGAAACCCGAAAGACUCGAACGGGGAGAUUCAUCGUCAGCGUAGCUGGCUUCGCGUCGGUGGGCGAUGUCCCGCGGUGCCGCCUCGUCGCGGCUCCCGCGCGGACACGCUACCGUGCGUCGAUGUCCGGCGAACGUCGUCGUGCACUUCUCCCCUAGUAGGACGUCGCGACCCGCUGGGUGUCGGUCUACGGCCCGGGGCUGAGGUGACUGCCGCGCCAGCACGUAAAAAUGCGCCGCGGCAAACUCCCGGUUGCCCGGCCGACUGCCCGGCGGUAUAACGAAACGGUAUCAGGCCGCGCCUCGGCGCGUCGAGCCCGUCGCAAGCGAGCGCCACGGUACCCGGAGGUACGGACCCAGUGCCGUCCCCGGUCCUGGCCCGCUGCUAGCUAGUACGGUGUGCCUUCGACUGGCCUGAGCCCCGCGUGUCCCGGUAAAACGGGGCGCGCGGCAUACCGGUCGGCGACGCUACUGCUUUGGGUACUCUCAGGA